RNAcentral lists this transfer RNA (75 nucleotides) under Candidatus Woesearchaeota archaeon. RNAcentral describes it as "tRNA-Ala". It matches the Rfam family "tRNA". Rfam says of the family: Transfer RNA (tRNA) molecules are approximately 80 nucleotides in length. The record is from RNAcentral. Lineage: Archaea; Nanobdellati; Candidatus Woesearchaeota.
GGGCCGAUAGUUAAAUCCGGUUAUAACGCCCCGCUGGCAGCGGGGAGGCUCCGGGUUCAAAUCCCGGUCGGUCCA